Molecule: long non-coding RNA, 2391 nt
Organism: Pezoporus flaviventris
Lineage: Eukaryota; Metazoa; Chordata; Aves; Psittaciformes; Psittacidae
Exons: 3
Source: RefSeq, a predicted model, not a curated record
UUUUUUAUUUUCUAGAUGGUUUAAACAGAGAUGGGUGCCAAAUCAAACUAGUAAGAAGAAGCCUUGAAAAGGAGAACAUUGAGAGAUAAACCUCAAUAUUUCUUCUACAUAUUCUUUGUAGGUAAUGUAUCACCAUUCAUACCUCCCAGGUAUUUCCAUGAGACAAGUACCUCUCAAGGUCUCUCUUCCAGAGUUUAAACUUCUUGAAAUCCUUAAUCUCAGCUGCCACAAAAUUGGCAGUUUUCUGCAACUCUGAGCGGACCCAGCAACUUGAACUGGAUUUCUGUGGGCCGAUUCCUGGGGAUUUAGAAGCUGCUCCUUUGGCAGUGUGGCUGCCUGAUGCUGGAGAGUCACUGAAGCUUUCCCUCUCCCGUUAUCCCUCCAUGAGCAGAAACCCUGGCCUCUGCCUGACUUUCCCACCAUAGAACAGCCCAUGUGCACUGGGAGCUGCCAGGCGGCUGACUACUUUGUUCAGCCUUUCAGAAAACGAGUGUCCUUUCUGAAGCAGAUCCUUUCAGGGUCUCCUCUCCUGGUGUUUUCAGCUUGCAUUCCAGUUCAAAACAGCCGCUGCUAUUUGCAGACUGUAACUUGUGAGGCCCAGUUACGGAAGCAGUCAUGUGCCCUCCACAUUCAUAGAGAAAAGGCUGCAGAGAACUGCUCUGAUAGAGUUGAGAAGUUGGUUCACAGCUAGGAAUUAAAUGUUUAAGCUGACAUUAGCCAGAGUCAGUGCUAAAAGAUGUAGCACUCCCCCCCUCAGCAGCUCAUUCCUACCCUCUCAAGGCCUUGAGUUUGUACAAGCCUGGUCUGAAUGGCAGAGGGAUUGAUCCAGCUGAGCUCUCAGCCAACAGGAACAAAAACACAAGCUGUGAUCUGGCUUGGGGUUGUAAUGCAGUUUUGUAUCCCACCACGUGGACGCAUGUGCCUGUGGAGGCAGAGCUGGAGGGAAGGGAGAGAGCUACUUUGGGGGGACCAUGAAGAAAGGUUCCUUGUGCUGGCUCUGGGGGCUUGUGCUUCCUCACAGGGUGAGGUUAUGUGAAGUGGCUGAUACCUGGGUUUACUGACACCCAGUUCCACCAGAACUUUAUGAUCAUCUCUUGCAGGGAUGGCACACACACGAGCUCAGAGCCCUACCAUGCAGCACGCUGCAGCACUGGAGCACCAAGCAUGGCACCCCUGAGCAAGAGCCCUCAGAGGGGAUUUCCCAGGCAGUCACCAAAACUGAGGAGAUGGGCAUGCGGCAGCCUGGGCUGAGGAUGAGAAACAGUGUGUAGGAGGCACUGGAAGUGCCCUCACCCCAGCUGUCCUGAUAUUGCACUCACGAGAUAACCCAGCACCCAAAGGAAGGCUUCAGUGAUCACCAUAUCCAUCCGUCUGUCCCACUCUAAUAACUUUUAAAACAACUGCCACACUUCAACAUCAUGCAGUACUGUGACGUGCAGCUCAAAGGCAUUAGGGUAGGAUUCGUUUCACCUAAGUUUAGACUUCUAUAGUAUCAGUGUCUUCAUCUGCAUUAGUCACCUUAGGUUGUCCUUACAGUUAGUAGAGACCAGUUGGCACUUUUAACCAUAAUUCAAGUGACCUGAUUUAGAUGACUAUUUUGGGAUGGGAUGACUCAGGGACUAAGAGUGCCUUUCUUUCUUUACUGCUUAGUUAGGAUGAUCAGCUGAAAUGAAGAACAGUGGAAUAGUGGAAUUUUUUAUGUGACUUCCAAAGGCUGGCUCUGUAUCAGAAAAGAAAUGUAAUGAAUCAAAAGCUGAAGUGUGUGCUCACCAGCAGUGGUGUGCCAGUCAAUGUGGGUAUCGAGCUGCCAGCCAGCACAUGCCCCUUGUUGGGAAGCAGAGGGAGUUCACAUUGCCUUUCACCUAGCUGGUAUGUAGAGGAUGUGAGAAGAAGAUGGGUGUUCUACUGGAAUGAGGAGAAAGUCAUACAGAGCUCUAGGUCAGGAUGGCUGCCAGGAUUAUUGUGUUGGGUGGGUAAGAAAAUGAGACACUAGCUCAAAAUAAACAAGCCUUCACUGGAUUUACUGCUCACAGAAUUAAUUGCUUAUUCUCAUGAACUCAAGGCAAAUCUGCAUGCUGUGACUGCUCAGAUAAAACAACUUCUAAAAUAACCCUUUUGGCAUUUGGAGGUCAAGCCCUAUCUCUGAUCAGCUUACGAUGCAGAUUUCCAUUUCCACCUUGGUAAUUUUCAAAUAAACACUUGUGGUGCUUUUUUCCAGAGCCGCUCUCUAUUCUCUGAAGAAGUCAUUAUAAACUUCUCAAAACAACCUCCUCCUUUUUCCUGAGAGACCUCAGACCUGCUAAAGCUCGGAUGAUGGGUGAGCGGUUGCUUUGCUGAGACUUCUGCCUAGAAUGGAUUGCCUCUGUGUCCUGUUGCUUUUUACCUGAUGGC